RNAcentral lists this ribosomal RNA (689 nucleotides) under Klebsiella quasipneumoniae. Its description in RNAcentral is "partial 23S ribosomal RNA". It matches the Rfam family "Bacterial large subunit ribosomal RNA", at positions 2242 to 2925 of the family's 2925-position model. The record is from RNAcentral. Lineage: Bacteria; Pseudomonadati; Pseudomonadota; Gammaproteobacteria; Enterobacterales; Enterobacteriaceae.
GGGUUGCGGACAGUGUCUGGUGGGUAGUUUGACUGGGGCGGUCUCCUCCCAAAGCGUAACGGAGGAGCACGAAGGUUAGCUAAUCCUGGUCGGACAUCAGGAGGUUAGUGCAAUGGCAUAAGCUAGCUUGACUGCGAGCGUGACGGCGCGAGCAGGUGCGAAAGCAGGUCAUAGUGAUCCGGUGGUUCUGAAUGGAAGGGCCAUCGCUCAACGGAUAAAAGGUACUCCGGGGAUAACAGGCUGAUACCGCCCAAGAGUUCAUAUCGACGGCGGUGUUUGGCACCUCGAUGUCGGCUCAUCACAUCCUGGGGCUGAAGUAGGUCCCAAGGGUAUGGCUGUUCGCCAUUUAAAGUGGUACGCGAGCUGGGUUUAGAACGUCGUGAGACAGUUCGGUCCCUAUCUGCCGUGGGCGCUGGAGAAUUGAGGGGGGCUGCUCCUAGUACGAGAGGACCGGAGUGGACGCAUCACUGGUGUUCGGGUUGUCAUGCCAAUGGCACUGCCCGGUAGCUAAAUGCGGAAGAGAUAAGUGCUGAAAGCAUCUAAGCACGAAACUUGCCCCGAGAUGAGUUCUCCCUGAGACUUUAAGUCUCCUGAAGGAACGUUGAAGACGACGACGUUGAUAGGCCGGGUGUGUAAGCGCAGCGAUGCGUUGAGCUAACCGGUACUAAUGAACCGUGAGGCUUAACCUU